GUCUUCAGGGCGGGGUGCAAUUCCCCACCGGCGGUAUGAUGUCUGGCGCAAGCCAGUGUCGAGCCCGCGAGCGCCCCUGCCAGGCAGGGGGUCAGCAGAUCCGGUUCAAGGCCGGAGCCGACGGUAACAGUCCGGAUGAAAGAAGAUG
This 148-nucleotide non-coding RNA is filed under the name uncultured Aquitalea sp. Its description in RNAcentral is "FMN riboswitch (RFN element)". It matches the Rfam family "FMN riboswitch aptamer (RFN element)". From Rfam's summary of the family: The RFN element is a highly conserved domain that is found frequently in the 5'-untranslated regions of prokaryotic mRNAs that encode for flavin mononucleotide (FMN) biosynthesis and transport proteins. This element is a metabolite-dependent riboswitch that directly binds FMN in the absence of proteins. Lineage: Bacteria; Pseudomonadati; Pseudomonadota; Betaproteobacteria; Neisseriales; Chromobacteriaceae. The record is from RNAcentral.